RNAcentral lists this long non-coding RNA (616 nucleotides) under Callithrix jacchus (white-tufted-ear marmoset). RNAcentral's name for it is "lncRNA (ENSCJAG00000086932.1)". The record is from RNAcentral. Lineage: Eukaryota; Metazoa; Chordata; Mammalia; Primates; Cebidae.
ACUUUCUGAGUGAUAUGGUUUGGCCGUGUCCUCACCCAAAUCUAAUCUUGAAAUCCCAUGUGUUGUGGGAGGGACCCAGUGGGAGGUAACUGAAUCAUGGAGACAAGUAUUUCCUGUGCUCUUCUCAUGACAGUGGGUAAGUUUCUAUUUAUAAAUGAGAGCUGAUGGUUUUAUAAAUGGGAGCUUCUCUGCACAAGCUCUCUCCUCUUGUUUGCUGCCAUGUGAGACAUGCCUUUCACCUUCGGCCGUGACUGUGAGGCCAUCCCAGCCACAUGGAACUAUGUGCCUUGCUUCCUUCCUCUUUGCCUUCUGCCAUGAUUGUAAGUUUCCUGAGGCCUUCCCAGCCAUGCAACAUGGUGGAUCCACUCUGGAGCAUGCUCUACAGAGUCUUUUAUGGACCCAAGUGGAAGAAAAGAAGAACAACCCAGUUAUUCACAAAGAUAACUUGACUUUAGGCUCUACCAGGAACUACACCACUAGUUCUCAUGGUUUGGGGUUCUUCAGACUUGGAUUGGAAAUAUACCACCAGCUCUCCUUGGUCUCCAACUUGCCAAAUGAAGACCAUGGGACUUCUCAGCCUCAUCAUCAUGAGUAUCUGGAGAAAUUGCCACAGUAA